RNAcentral lists this ribosomal RNA (497 nucleotides) under uncultured bacterium. Its description in RNAcentral is "partial 16S ribosomal RNA". It matches the Rfam family "Bacterial small subunit ribosomal RNA", at positions 28 to 507 of the family's 1533-position model. The record is from RNAcentral.
GAUGAACGCUGGCGGCGUGCCUAAUACAUGCAAGUCGAGCGAACAGACGAGGAGCUUGCUCCUCUGACGUUAGCGGAGGACGGGUGAGUAACACGUGGAUAACCCACCUAUAAGACUGGGAUAACUUCGGGAAACCGGAGCUAAUACCGGAUAAUAUAUUGAACCGCAUGGUUCGAUAGUGAAAGUCGGUUUUGCUGGCACUUCUAGAUGGAUCUGCGCCGCAUUAGCUAGUUGGUAAGGUAACGGCUUACCAAGGCGACGAUGCGUAGCCGACCUGUGAGAGUGAUCGGCCACACUGGAACUGAGACACGGUCCAGGCUCCUGCGGGAGGCAGCAGUAGGGAAUCUUCCGCAAUGGGCGAAAGCCUGACGGAGCAACGCCGCGUGAGUGAUGAAGGUCUUCGGAUCGUGAAACUCUGUUAUUAGUGAAGAACAAAUGUGUAAGUAACUAUGCACGUCUUGACGGUACCUAGUCAGAAAGCCACGGCUAACUACGUG